Molecule: ribosomal RNA, 446 nt
Filed under: uncultured bacterium
Lineage: Bacteria
Description: partial 16S ribosomal RNA
Rfam family: Bacterial small subunit ribosomal RNA
Source: RNAcentral
GUGAGGAAUAUUGGUCAAUGGGGGCAACCCUGAACCAGCCAUGCCGCGUGAAGGAUGAAGGCGUUAUGCGUUGUAAACUUCUUUUGUAUGGGAAGAAUGACAGGGAUUCAUCCUUGGAGAGACGGUACCAUACGAAUAAGCACCGGCUAACUCCGUGCCAGCAGCCGCGGUAAUACGGAGGGUGCAAGCGUUAGCAGGAAUCACUGGGUUUAAAGGGUACGUAGGCGGUUAAUUAAGUCAGUAGUGAAAUACUGUCGCUCAACGACGGAUUUGCUAUUGAUACUGGUUAACUUGAAUCAGGUUAGAGUUGGCGGAAUGGGUCAUGUAGCGGUGAAAUGCUUAGAUAUGACUUGGAACACCGAUAGCGAAGGCAGCUGACUGAGCCUUGAUUGACGCUGAGGUACGAAAGUGUGGGUAGCGAACAGGAUUAGAUACCCGAGUAGUCC